This 488-nucleotide ribosomal RNA is filed under the name Staphylococcus aureus. Its description in RNAcentral is "partial 23S ribosomal RNA". It matches the Rfam family "Bacterial large subunit ribosomal RNA", at positions 426 to 917 of the family's 2925-position model. Lineage: Bacteria; Bacillati; Bacillota; Bacilli; Caryophanales; Staphylococcaceae. The record is from RNAcentral.
GUGAAAUUCCGUCGGAAUCUGGGAGGACCAUCUCCUAAGGCUAAAUACUCUCUAGUGACCGAUAGUGAACCAGUACCGUGAGGGAAAGGUGAAAAGCACCCCGGAAGGGGAGUGAAAUAGAACCUGAAACCGUGUGCUUACAAGUAGUCAGAGCCCGUUAAUGGGUGAUGGCGUGCCUUUUGUAGAAUGAACCGGCGAGUUACGAUUUGAUGCAAGGUUAAGCAGUAAAUGUGGAGCCGUAGCGAAAGCGAGUCUGAAUAGGGCGUUUAGUAUUUGGUCGUAGACCCGAAACCAGGUGAUCUACCCUUGGUCAGGUUGAAGUUCAGGUAACACUGAAUGGAGGACCGAACCGACUUACGUUGAAAAGUGAGCGGAUGAACUGAGGGUAGCGGAGAAAUUCCAAUCGAACCUGGAGAUAGCUGGUUCUCUCCGAAAUAGCUUUAGGGCUAGCCUCAAGUGAUGAUUAUUGGAGGUAGAGCACUGUUUGG